GUUAGAUAUUAGGCAGAAAUUCUUUACUGUGAGGGUGCUGAGGCACUGGCACUGGUCGCCCAGAGAAGCUGUGGAUGCCCCAUCCCUGGAAGUGUUCAAGGCCAGGUUGGAUGGGGCUCUGAGCAACCUGGUCUAGUGGGAGGUGUCCCUCCCUGCCCAUGGCCGGGGUUGAAACGAGAUGAUCUUUAAGGUCCCUUCAAACCCAAACCAUUCUAUGAUUCUGUGAUUAAAACAUCUCCCCAGGAUGAUAAACAUCUCCCCAGGAGACAUAGGACAAAGGAGAAGGGAUACCUGACUCUAAAAAUCAUUAAACACAGAGGUGCAGGAUACCCUGCUGCUACCUUUCCACAGAGGCAAUUAAUGCAGGUAGUAGUAUGCAGUUAGUCUAAGGCAGUCUAUUGAAAUGUAAUAACAAGAAUGAAAAAAAAAUCCCUUUGCCAAUAAGAUUCAGUGUGAAAUCUUACUGUUGCCUUUUCUUAUAAGAAAAGCUCUUUAUAAGAGCUAAAGGUUUACCCUAGGAAGAUGGCAAGAUAUACAUUCAUUUUCAUUGUUUCCCCCUGUGCAGGUCAAUUACAGUGUAACUGGCCUCAUUUGUUAUGGUAAUGAGAAUUUACACCUUUCUCAUCUUUUAUUAAUAAUUUGCUAGAUUAUUUAGGUGCUCUGAGUCAGUGGGCAUAUUCAGGGAAAUAUCAUGCCAAGUUUCUGAUCAGGAAGAGAUAAAAACAUACCAAGUGGUGAAUGUAUCAACUAACAACAUCUCUGUAUGGAACAGGCUGAAAUCAGAAAACUUGGCAGCAGGGUGGAGAUAAUACCAAAUACACCAGCAGGGCAAAAGUCUGUUUCUUUGAGGUUCUCUCUUCUUGGACACAUAUUCACAGCAGGAAAAAUCAAAGAUACAGAAGCACCAGUUCUAUUACAGUCCUUUGAGCAGCAGCAUAGGUCGAUUUGUGACAACAUGGAAUCUUCAGAAACACAUCAUGGACAAGGUACUGUACAUAAUUCCUCAAUAUUGUCCUCUUCCUACAGUUUUUUCAAGGUUUCAUUCUAUGCAGAUGAUGAAGUCUGACAAAAAAGUUGAAUACAAACAUUCUGAAGCUGUCCUAAUACAAAGUUCCUGAGCAAGUCUAUAAUGAUAUAUAUAGCAAUGUCUGCUGUCCAAAAUGCCUGUUGGCACUUUUGAGCAUCAGUGUUUCUGGUUGUUUCUAUCUUUGUCAGCCAUAACCAGUUAAAAGCCAUCAUGAAUUUUCAAAAGUUGUUAAUUUUGUUGGAAAAAGAUUAAUAAGACUAUGUUUCACGAUUUGGUAUCAUACAUGACCUAUUUUCUAGGGAUGAGACUUUGGUUAUCUUCAGGAGGGUACACCCAAAACCAAUCAGGUUUGCAGCCUCUGAAGAAUCUGUUAGACUGAGAUUGCCAAAUACCCCAGUGGCAUUGAUCACGCUCUCUCCACUCAUCUCUCUGAUCUGCUGACCACAGUGCAUGUCACAGCCCCACCUUGCAUCGUUUCCUGAUACUUCAGGAGUGACUCAUACAUCCUCGCGACUUUCUCUGAAAGCAGAUUCUGUCCCUUUUCUGUGCCUGGGGAGUUUCACAAAACCCACUUACCUGAUUUCUAGUGAACACCUGGAAAUGACCUUACAUCAUAUCCUGGUAUCACACUAAUUCUUACUGACUUCACGAAGAGCUGGAUUUAUCUCCUUGGCUCUGAUUCACAGUUCACUCGAGUCAAUAGAAAAAUCUCCCACUGAAGUCAAUGGCUCUUGAGUAUUUUAGUGAACUAAUACUUAUUCUCCAAACAGAUCUGGAUCAGAUGUAAAUUAGGGAGCAAAAGUUGAAAAAUACAGAUCACAUGAGUUUUCCUAAGGUAAGUUUACAUACUUCGUGUAUGUAGAGUUUGGUGACCAACACUUUUUGCUAUAUAGUAGAGCCAGUAACGUGCUCGUAGCAUUGAAAUUACAAUUUAUCUGAGCUGUAAUUAUGCUUUAAUAAGAGUAAACCACAACUAGCCUACACUGCACUGCCUAAUCAGCAGUCAGCUAUUUGAUAAGAGGAGGUAUCUCCAACAGUUGAUAAAAUUAUCCUGUUUAUAACCAAUAUGCAAGGCCUUACCUUUAGAGCUGUGUGCUGAGGAAAGUUUAUAUAGAAUAGCCAUUGAAUAUGGUCUCGUAUUUCGGCACAAAGAGGUACAAGCACCACAAAAGGUACAAAAAAGACGCUGCCUCCCAACCCCCCAGACACCAAGGUACCUGUGUAAUAAACUUCAACAGUCAGGCUCUUGUAUCUGUUUAGUCUCAUGUCUGCUUCACUGGCUUUGAUUCUACCGAGAAGCUGCCCUCAAAAUAACCGGGAAAGAGGGUAAGUUUAACACUGCUGUGAAUGGUCCUCAUUUCCAUUGCCUUGCUGGUGAAUGGGAUCAUGUAGAGCAACUCUCCUUCAAAAGUACUGAGCAAUGUUUAAACAAUAAUUUCUUCACAUUUGGGAAUCUAGUGAGACCACAGGUAGUGAGGUCCUUAUUCGUUCCUGCAAACUGGAGGCAAAUUAAAUGCUAGACUACAAAAAGCAGCAUGAUGCACCUACAUUUUCAGCAGAGUUACCUUAUCACUUUUUGCUGGUGCUAACUCACAUUUCACAAUGUGUCACAACACAACAGUGCCAAAACACACUGUGAGAGGCUCUAGGCCACACAAAUACCCUAAAACCAUUCAGCCCCUAGAUACUAAGGGUUAUGGCUAUUUUUUGACAACAAAGAUACCUAUGUGGUAUUUGAAGGUGGUUGUAGAAGCAGGGCUACUUUCAGUAUUAGCCACUCCAAGAUUUCAAGACUGCUUGGAUUUGUAAAACUAGGCAUAGAGUUUUACCUAUACAAAACAAGGAUCAGGAGAAGAAAGAGGACUGUGUGUACCAAGCCUGUUCUGUUUUUCUACAUUUACGUAUUAAAAAAAUAAAUAAAAUAAAGGCAAAAGUCCAUCAUAAAAUUUAUUAGUCCUUAUUAUCAAGGCUCACAUAGGUCAGCUUAGCAAUUUGAUAAUGACAAGAUAGCUCUUCUCAUUUUGAGCAAACCUGUAUAUUAAUAUGAAAUAAGAGGCUUAUAGUAAGGCAGGCAUUUCUGGCUUAUGAUCCUACUCAUCUUUCUGGAUAAUGCCAUCACUUGACGAAAGAGAUGCGAGAAGUCCGUAUUUGAGACUUUAGUCUUCCCAAGUUUUCAUAUUGCUAGGUCAAGCUUUCAUUUUGAAUCUUUGACAAGUGUAUCAGAAGAAUACACUUAUCAAUCAGAAACCAUGCAAAACCACAAGAAGAAUCAAGAUAAAUGCUGCAAAACUCUGAUUCAGGCUGUACCAAGAGCAAAUCCAAAGAGCUGUCCCUUUAACUAGGACCCAUCUGAGACAGCAGCAGGGCACUGGAGACAAAAACAACAUACAAAACCAGGUACAACACAAACACAGCUGUGCACAGAGACAAAACCACUAAGGUAGUUCACCAGCACUUUCGCUUCGAUCAUGCAAAGUUUUCAAACAGUUUCACUUACAGAGGUCUGCAUGUGCAGAAGCAGAAACAUGUUUUUGUUGUACAGUUAACUGGUGAGAGGAAGCUUCAAGUCUUUGAGCAGAAUGUCAUUCUGGUUUUAUCCUGUACUAAAAUAACUUGUUUUUCUAGGGUGCUAAUAUAUCUUUAGAAAGAUCUAUGCAUAUUUUUUAACUGAAUAAAUAAAUUCAAGGUUCAUAAAGCAUUUCCAGUGUACCAUACCUAUCUUUUGUCUUCCAUUUUGGCAUUGCUUUCACACUUUGGAAAGCCAUCUUAAAGCCUGCAGCCAGCUUUCCCGUGUUUCCUCCUCGGCAACCUGGCAGGGCUCUGGCACUACCUCCCAUUUUGUAGGAUCCCACAAAGCUGCGCUGCUCAGAGACAAAGCACUCAGGACUACUUUUUCCUGAGCGAGGAAAUGAGGAUACUGCAGCACCACGAGCGAAUCUUCAGAGCAACC
This is a long non-coding RNA of Corvus moneduloides (New Caledonian crow), 3977 nucleotides long. The record is from Ensembl. NCBI's taxonomy places the organism in Eukaryota, Metazoa, Chordata, Aves, Passeriformes, Corvidae.